Molecule: ribosomal RNA, 534 nt
Filed under: uncultured bacterium
Lineage: Bacteria
Description: bacterial SSU rRNA
Rfam family: Bacterial small subunit ribosomal RNA
Source: RNAcentral
GGCCUUGACAUACUAAGAACUUUCCAGAGAUGGAUUGGUGCCUUCGGGAACUUAGAUACAGGUGCUGCAUGGCUGUCGUCAGCUCGUGUCGUGAGAUGUUGGGUUAAGUCCCGNAACGAGCGCAACCCUCUUCCUUAUUUGCCAGCGGGUAAUGCCGGGAACUUUUAAGGAUACUGCCAGUGACAAACUGGAGGAAGGCGGGGACGACGUCAAGUCAUCAUGGCCCUUACGGCCAGGGCUACACACGUGCUACAAUGGUCGGUACAAAGGGUUGCUACCUCGCGAGAGGAUGCUAAUCUCAAAAAGCCGAUCGUAGUCCGGAUCGCAGUCUGCAACUCGACUGCGUGAAGUCGGAAUCGCUAGUAAUCGCGGAUCAGAAUGCCGCGGUGAAUACGUUCCCGGGCCUUGUACACACCGCCCGUCACACCAUGGGAGUUUGUUGCACCAGAAGUAGGUAGUCUAACCGCAAGGAGGACGCUUACCACGGUGUGGCCGAUGACUGGGGUGAAGUCGUAACAAGGUAGGCGUAGAUGA